AUGCAAGAAGGGCACACAGUCGCCUACUACAGCAAGGCAUUGGGGGUGAAGAAUCAGAAACUUUCCACUUACGAGAAGGAAAUUUUGGCGGUCAUGAUGGCAGUGGACAAGUGGCGCUCCUACCUGCAGCGCGGGGCGUUCACUAUCCUCACUGACCACAAGAGCCUGUGCACACUGGGUGAUCAACAGUUGGUGACGGACGUCCAGCGCCGUGCAAUGUCAAAGCUGGUGGGGCUGCAGUUCAAAUUUCAGUACAAGCGCGGCAUCGACAAUGGCGCAGCAGACGCGCUAUCCCGCGUGGGCAGCCACUUCAGCGCCCACGCCUUGUCUCUCUGUCAACCCGCGUGGAUCCAGGAGGUAGCUAAUUCCUAUGUCACUGAUCCAAACGCUCAAGAAUGA
This 399-nucleotide ribosomal RNA is filed under the name Triticum aestivum (bread wheat). Its description in RNAcentral is "partial small subunit ribosomal RNA". Lineage: Eukaryota; Viridiplantae; Streptophyta; Magnoliopsida; Poales; Poaceae. The record is from RNAcentral.